This 331-nucleotide ribosomal RNA is filed under the name uncultured bacterium. RNAcentral's name for it is "bacterial SSU rRNA". It matches the Rfam family "Bacterial small subunit ribosomal RNA", at positions 505 to 835 of the family's 1533-position model. The record is from RNAcentral.
GUGCCAGCAGCCGCGGUAAUACGGAGGGUGCAAGCGUUAAUCGGAAUUACUGGGGCGUAAAGCGCACGCAGGCGGUCUGUCAAGUCGGAUGUGAAAUCCCCGGGCUCAACCUGGGAACUGCAUUCGAAACUGGCAGGCUGGAGUCUUGUAGAGGGGGUAGAAUUCCAGGUGUAGCGGUGAAAUGCGUAGAGAUCUGGAGGAAUACCGGUGGCGAAGGCGGCCCCCUGGACAAAGACUGACGCUCAGGUGCGAAAGCGUGGGAGCAAACAGGAUUAGAUAACCCUGGUAGUCCACGCCGUAACGAUGUCGACUUGGAGGUUGUGCCCGUUGA